RNAcentral lists this long non-coding RNA (699 nucleotides) under Lathyrus oleraceus (garden pea). RNAcentral's name for it is "Pisum sativum (pea) long non-coding RNA (PSAT_LNC027259)". Lineage: Eukaryota; Viridiplantae; Streptophyta; Magnoliopsida; Fabales; Fabaceae. The record is from RNAcentral.
UGACUUUCCGAGAUACCUAGAUGAAUUAGGGCUUCCAAGGAAAACAAACUUCAAACUCUUGAUGAAUUCUUGAUCAAAAUGAUAUGUGAAGAUCAUAGGCACAUGAAGUGAACCAAGCGCAACCGGUAGAUCACUUGCCAUUCCAAAACAACAAACAGAUCAAUGGACUGAAAUUAAAAGGGGCAUUUACAUUUCAUUACAAUUUAGUUUUACAUUCCAACUUCAUUUUUCAGAAAUAAAUAACUUCUAAAUUUGUAACUAACUCCUGAAUUUGGAUUGAAUUUUAUUUAGAACCUCAUAACUGAUUCCUAACUGUUUGUGAAUUUCAAGGAAAUUUAGAAGUGAAUUUCGCUGAAAUUUAAAGUGAAUUUAUAAUUGUUUUUGGAGAAUAAAUAUUAUAAAGCUUACCUCAAAUUCACCCUUCAAUUUUUUUUCUUCACGCUUGAAAUUCGUUUCAGUUUUCAAUCUCUUCCAUUCUCCAAUUGGUUCUUCUUCUUCUUCUUCACGCUUGGAAUUCGUCUCUCCAUGGUCUUCAAUCUUCUUCACCCUCCAAGCUUCACCUUCAAUCUUAAUUUUGCAACAAGGAGGUUCUGCAACCGAAAUCUGUAAUUAGCUUCCGUUUCUUCGACCAAAGUCUCUCCACGCACCAUAACUUCAUGCGAGUUUGACGCAAUAGUUCAACAAUUUUCAACAUUCAAA